Molecule: ribosomal RNA, 496 nt
Filed under: uncultured bacterium
Lineage: Bacteria
Description: partial 16S ribosomal RNA
Rfam family: Bacterial small subunit ribosomal RNA
Source: RNAcentral
GAUGAACGCUGGCGGCGUGCCUAAUACAUGCAAGUCGAGCGAACAGACGAGGAGCUUGCUCCUCUGACGUUAGCGGCGGACGGGUGAGUAACACGUGGAUCACCUACCUAUAAGACUGGGAUAACUUCGGGAAACCGGCGCUAAUACCGGAUAAUAUAUUGAACCGCAUGGUUCAAUAGUGAAAUACGGUUUUGCUGUCACUUAUAGAUGGAUCCGCGCCGCAUUAGCUAGUUGGUAAGGUAACGGCUUACCAAGGCAACGAUGCGUAGCCGACCUGAGAGGGUGAUCGGCCACACUGGAACUGAGACACGGUCCAGACUCCUACGGGAGGCAGCAGUAGGGAAUCUUCCGCAAUGGGCGAAAGCCUGACGGAGCAACGCCGCGUGAGUGAUGAAGGUCUUCGGAUCGUAAAACUCUGUUAUUAGGGAAGAACAAAUGUGUAAGUAACGAUGCACGUCUUGACGGUACCUAAUCAGAAAGCCCCGGCUAACUACGU